AUGGCCCCCUCUCUCCGUCACUGCAGCGUCGGUGCUGUAGUGGCAGGAGCAGCAGAUGGAGCAGAUGUUAGUGUCAAUGCUCGGCAUGUGUGCAGAGAUGCAGCAUUUCUCCACCCACCCACACACUGUCUCCUCAGACACACUGCUUGCCUCCUGCUCUCUGACGCUCUCAGACUCCCUGCAAAGGAGCUGUCCGCUGGUCCCGCUGCACUGCUAUGACUGUGAGCUCCUGAAGAAUUCUCUCUUUUAAAAACGAUUCGCCAUCCUUCUU
Molecule: long non-coding RNA, 271 nt
Filed under: Sparus aurata (gilthead seabream)
Lineage: Eukaryota; Metazoa; Chordata; Actinopteri; Spariformes; Sparidae
Description: lncRNA (ENSSAUG00010000341.1)
Source: RNAcentral